Molecule: ribosomal RNA, 254 nt
Filed under: uncultured bacterium
Lineage: Bacteria
Description: partial 16S ribosomal RNA
Rfam family: Bacterial small subunit ribosomal RNA
Source: RNAcentral
UACGUAGGGGGCAAGCGUUGGUCCGGAAUCAUUGGGCGUAAAGCGCGUGUAGGCGGCCUUGUAAGUCCGUUCUGAAAGCCCGGGGCUCAACCCCGGGAGGCGGAUGGAUACUGCAAGGCUCGAGUACGGAAGAGGCGAGUGGAAUUCCCGGUGUAGCGGUGAAAUGCGCAGAUAUCAGGAGGAACACCAGCGGCGAAGGCGGCGCUCUGGGCCGGUACUGACGCUGAGGAGCGAAAGCGUGGGUAGCAAACAGG